This 253-nucleotide ribosomal RNA is filed under the name uncultured bacterium. RNAcentral's name for it is "partial 16S ribosomal RNA". It matches the Rfam family "Bacterial small subunit ribosomal RNA", at positions 524 to 776 of the family's 1533-position model. The record is from RNAcentral.
UACGUAGGGUGCGAGCGUUGUCCGGAAUUAUUGGGCGUAAAGAGCUCGUAGGCGGUUUGUCACGUCUGCUGUGAAAUCCCGAGGCUCAACCUCGGGCCUGCAGUGGAUACGGGCAGACUAGAGUGCGGUAGGGGAGACUGGAAUUCCUGGUGUAGCGGUGGAAUGCGCAGAUAUCAGGAGGAACACCGAUGGCGAAGGCAGGUCUCUGGGCCGCAACUGACGCUGAGGAGCGAAAGCAUGGGGAGCGAACAGG